CACUAUUACACCGCUUUUUCAAUAUUUGCUCUAAAUAUGAGAAUUUUCAUGCUCAGAUUGAGUUUUUUAGAAAAAUCCUCAACCAGAACGGUUAUCCUACUCGUCUUUUUGAUCGUUGUGUUCGACUCUUUCUUGAUAAAACCUUUCAACCCAAGGAAUUAAUCCAUUCUGUAUCAAGGAAAGUGGUAUACUUUUGUCUUCCAUAUACCGGAACACACUCUCUCCAAAUCCGUACCCAAAUUCAACGCCUUUGCUCUGUAGCCUUCCCACAUAUAAACAUCAGAAUCGUUUUUCGUCCCACUCUACGUUUGUCCAAUUUCUUCAUGUUUAAGGACAAAAUUCCCGAUGCUUUGAGGUCUUGUGUAGUUUAUUCUUUUAAGUGUCGAUGCUGUUCCGCGUCGUAUGUGGGCCAAACGGUCCGCCAUCUACAUACACGAGUCUCUGAACACCUGGGUAUUUCUGCCUUAACUGGUAAGACGAGUAGCAGUCCUCAACUUACGAGCAUCUUUUCCCAU
Paramuricea clavata is the source of this 515-nucleotide non-coding RNA. The record is from the annotation of a GenBank genome assembly. Lineage: Eukaryota; Metazoa; Cnidaria; Anthozoa; Malacalcyonacea; Plexauridae.